RNAcentral lists this ribosomal RNA (438 nucleotides) under uncultured bacterium. Its description in RNAcentral is "partial 16S ribosomal RNA". The record is from RNAcentral.
ACCUUGUUACGACUUCACCCCAAUCACCGGCCAUACCUUCGAUGGCUGCCCCCCUUGCGGGUUAGCUCACCAACUUCGGGUACAACAGACUUUCGUGGUGUGACGGGCGGUGUGUACAAGGCCCGGGAACGUAUUCACCGCGGCGUAGUGAUCCGCGAUUACUAGCGAUUCCACGUUCACGGAGUCGAGUUGCAGACUCCGAUCCCAACUGAGACUACUUUUAGGGAUUGGCUCCACCUCACAGCUUCGCUCCCCUCUGUAGUAGCCAUUGUAGCACGUGUGUAGCCCUGGACAUAAGGGCCAUGAUGACUUGACGUCAUCCCCACCUUCCUCCAGCUUGUCGCUGGCAGUUUUCUCAGAGAGCCCUCUCAGGCAACAGAGACUAAGGGUUGCGCUCGUUCCGGGCCUUAACGAACACCUUACGCUACGAGCUGCCCC